UAUUCUGCCCUACAGGGAAGGAUGAGAAGCUUCGACCAAGGUUCGACUCGAGCGAACCGAGAGAACGUUGCCGCAGGCAACGGCCCGAAGGGCGAGGCGCUUUAGCGCCGAGUAAUCCUUCCCCCACCACCA
Molecule: small RNA, 132 nt
Filed under: Klebsiella pneumoniae
Lineage: Bacteria; Pseudomonadati; Pseudomonadota; Gammaproteobacteria; Enterobacterales; Enterobacteriaceae
Description: RtT sRNA
Rfam family: RtT RNA
About the family: This family represents a bacterial cis-regulatory element known as RtT RNA. The exact function of RtT is unknown although it is thought that it may be involved in changing the cellular response in relation to amino acid starvation.
Source: RNAcentral